RNAcentral lists this transfer RNA (76 nucleotides) under Fistulifera solaris. Its description in RNAcentral is "tRNA-Arg". It matches the Rfam family "tRNA". Rfam says of the family: Transfer RNA (tRNA) molecules are approximately 80 nucleotides in length. Their secondary structure includes four short double-helical elements and three loops (D, anti-codon, and T loops). Lineage: Eukaryota; Bacillariophyta; Bacillariophyceae; Naviculales; Stauroneidaceae. The record is from RNAcentral.
UGCAUUCUUAGCUCAGUUGGAUAGAGCAACAGUUUUCUAAACUGAUGGUCAUAGGUUCAAAUCCUAUAGAGUGUAA